This 682-nucleotide long non-coding RNA is filed under the name Bos grunniens (domestic yak). RNAcentral's name for it is "lncRNA (ENSBGRG00000011848.1)". Lineage: Eukaryota; Metazoa; Chordata; Mammalia; Artiodactyla; Bovidae. The record is from RNAcentral.
GGGGCCACCAAAGCGGAACAGCGCAGACGGUGCCUGCCGCCUCCCCUGGCGCUGGGCGUCGGGGUCAAGUCACCUCCCGGAGCCCCGCGCGGGGCACGGGUGGGGACUCGGGGGGCCCAGCCAUCCCCAGCAGCAGCGCCCCGAGUCCCCGCCCGCCUGCCGGCUCCUCACCUAUCAGAUUUCCUGUGCGCACCGCGCGCCGCUCCUCCCACCUCCUAAAGGCCAGCGCAGGGGACCGCCGCGCUCCGUCAGGACCCAGCUACUCAAGGGACGGCGCAAUGCGGCUCUGAGCUCGGGCAUCGGUACGGCCCCGCGCAGGGAGUGCGGGGCGCGCGGGCUUCCCAAGGCAGAGAAUCAUCACUUUCUGGCAAAUAAACCAAGCCCAAGACCUAAUUGUGCUGAAUGUCAUAUGACCUAAUUGUGCUGAAUGUCAUAUGCUGACAGCUCUUGGAAUCCACCCUUUGGCUUAGCUUUCAAACAAGAGGUUCAUCUUACCCAGGAAAAGGGUGAGUUAUUUGCUUUCUUAAUGUUAUAAUGCUGACAUGGAUGAUCCUGGAUUUGUGGAGAAUAAAAGAGAUAGGUGAGCAAAAGAACAUGCGUGCAUGUAAAGUCGCUUUAGUCGUGUCUGACUCUGUGGGACCAUAUGGAUUUUAGCCUGCCAGACUUCUCUGUCCAUUGGAUU